GAGAAGAUAAACAAAAGAGAGUUGCAGUCAUUGGUGCUGGCGUCAGUGGACUUGCUGCAGCAUACAAGUUGAAAGUUCAUGGCUUGAAUGUCACAGUAUUUGAAGCAGAAGGGAGAGCUGGAGGGAAGUUACGAAGCCUGAGUCAAGAUGGCCUAAUAUGGGAUGAAGGCGCAAAUACUAUGACUGAAAGUGAAGGUGAUGUCACAUUUUUGCUUGAUUCGCUUGGACUCCGAGAAAAACAACAAUUCCCACUUUCACAGAACAAGCGCUACAUUGCCAGAAAUGGUACUCCUACUCUGAUACCUUCAAAUCCAUUUGACCUAUUCAAAAGCAAUUUUCUUUCCACUGGAUCAAAGCUUCAGAUGCUUUUCGAGCCACUUUUGUGGAAGAAUAAAAAGCUUACAAAGGUGUCUGACAAACACGAAAGUGUCAGUGGAUUCUUCCAGCGUCAUUUUGGAAAGGAGGUUGUCGACUAUCUAAUUGACCCUUUUGUUGCUGGAACAUGUGGUGGUGAUCCUGACUCGCUUUCAAUGCACCUUUCAUUUCCAGACUUGUGGAAUUUAGAGAAAAGGUUUGGUUCAGUCAUAGUUGGGGCAAUUCGAUCUAAGUUAUCUCCUAUAAAGGAAAAGAAACAAGGGCCACCCAGAACUUCAGUAAAUAAGAAGCGCCAGCGGGGGUCCUUUUCAUUUUUGGGCGGAAUGCAAACACUUACUGACGCAAUAUGCAAAAAUCUCAAAGAAGAUGAACUUAGGCUAAACUCUAGAGUUCUGGAAUUAUCUUGUAGCUGUAGUGGGGACUCUGGGAUAGAUAGCUGGUCAAUUUUUUCUGCCUCUCCACACAAGCGGCAAGCAGAAGAAGAAUCAUUUGAUGCUGUAAUUAUGACGGCCCCUCUCUGUGACGUUAAGAGUAUGAAGAUUGCUAAGAGAGGAAAUCCAUUUCUGCUCAACUUUAUUCCUGAGGUCGAUUAUGUACCACUAUCUGUUGUUAUAACCACAUUUAAGAAGGAGAGUGUAAAGCAUCCCCUUGAGGGUUUUGGAGUGCUUGUACCCUCCCAGGAGCAAAAACAUGGUCUGAAGACACUAGGCACCCUCUUCUCUUCUAUGAUGUUUCCAGAUCGUGCACCCAACAAUGUCUAUCUCUAUACUACAUUUGUUGGUGGAAGCCGAAAUAGAGAACUCGCGAAAGCCUCGAGGACUGAGCUGAAAGAGAUAGUAACUUCUGACCUUAAGCAGUUGUUGGGUGCUGAGGGAGAGCCAACAUAUGUGAAUCAUUUAUGCUGGAGUAAAGCAUUUCCAUUGUACGGGCAUAACUAUGAUUCAGUCCUAGACGCAAUUGACAAAAUGGAGAAAAGCCUUCCUGGAUUAUUCUAUGCAGGUAACCACAAGGGGGGAUUGUCAGUUGGCAAAGCAUUAUCUUCUGGAUGCAAUGCAGCAGAUCUUGUUAUAUCAUAUCUUGAAGCGGUUUCAGCUGACACCAAAAACCAUAGCUGAAAUCUAUUCUCUUGCAGGUUUCUAUUCUUUGUUCCACAAAAUCGUUUAACUUCAUGACGAGGAGCAACUUUAACGUGCAGCCAGUGACGCAGCUCAAGCAUGAAACUCUCUUUCAAAGAGGAGCUGCGUUUCUGGAAAAUGAAGUGUUCAAAUGUUUAAUUUACACACCUGUUAUGGUAGCUGUUAGUGUUACCAAUAGAUGUUGGUGAAUUUUUUGCCGAUUUUCUUUCCUUGCUUUUACAUCAUACUCAAGGUGACCAGUCACUUUCCCUUUAAAU
This 1768-nucleotide unclassified non-coding RNA is filed under the name Hevea brasiliensis (rubber tree). Lineage: Eukaryota; Viridiplantae; Streptophyta; Magnoliopsida; Malpighiales; Euphorbiaceae. The record is from RNAcentral.